GUCNAAACGACUCUCGGCAACGGAUAUCUCGGCUCUCGCAUCGAUGAAGAACGUAGCGAAAUGCGAUACUUGGUGUGAAUUGCAGAAUCCCGUGAACCAUCGAGUCUUUGAACGCAAGUUGCGCCCGAAGCCUUCUGGCCGAGGGCACGCCUGCCUGGGCGUCAC
Molecule: ribosomal RNA, 165 nt
Filed under: Veronica sibthorpioides
Lineage: Eukaryota; Viridiplantae; Streptophyta; Magnoliopsida; Lamiales; Plantaginaceae
Description: 5.8S ribosomal RNA
Rfam family: 5.8S ribosomal RNA
About the family: 5.8S ribosomal RNA (5.8S rRNA) is a component of the large subunit of the eukaryotic ribosome. It is transcribed by RNA polymerase I as part of the 45S precursor that also contains 18S and 28S rRNA. Functionally, it is thought that 5.8S rRNA may be involved in ribosome translocation.
Source: RNAcentral